UUCAUAAACAGCCAUCCAGGUGCAAAAGC
RNAcentral lists this small RNA (29 nucleotides) under Bombyx mori (domestic silkworm). RNAcentral's name for it is "ovarian small RNA-9520". Lineage: Eukaryota; Metazoa; Arthropoda; Insecta; Lepidoptera; Bombycidae. The record is from RNAcentral.